GCUGGGUGCGGUGGCUCACGCCUGUAAUCCCAGCUCUUUGGGAGGCUGAGGUGGAGGGCUCACUUGAGCUCAGGAAUUUGAGGCUGCAGUGAGCAAGGACCAUGCCACUACACUGCAGCCUGGGCAACAGAGUGAGACCCUGUCUCUU
Unclassified non-coding RNA from Macaca fascicularis (crab-eating macaque), 148 nucleotides. It matches the Rfam family "Metazoan signal recognition particle RNA". From Rfam's summary of the family: The signal recognition particle (SRP) is a universally conserved ribonucleoprotein. NCBI's taxonomy places the organism in Eukaryota, Metazoa, Chordata, Mammalia, Primates, Cercopithecidae. The record is from Ensembl.